This is a long non-coding RNA of Sebastes umbrosus (honeycomb rockfish), 198 nucleotides long. RefSeq lists it as uncharacterized. Lineage: Eukaryota; Metazoa; Chordata; Actinopteri; Perciformes; Sebastidae. The transcript has 3 exons. The record is from RefSeq and is a predicted model, not a curated record.
ACCUUCAGCUAUGUUGCAAUGGGAUACAUACAACAUUACAACAUACCUGAAGGUUACUCAGUGAGAAUAAACAUCUCUGUAAAUGCAUUUAGUUGAUCCAGUAUGUAUUUUAGACUUGUUGAUAUGUCUAUGUUAAAUCUAGGGUUGAUAAUGUUGAGAAACUAGCAAGAGUAUGAUAGAUUUUAAAAAUGAUCCCAG